RNAcentral lists this ribosomal RNA (420 nucleotides) under uncultured bacterium. Its description in RNAcentral is "bacterial SSU rRNA". It matches the Rfam family "Bacterial small subunit ribosomal RNA", at positions 359 to 776 of the family's 1533-position model. The record is from RNAcentral.
GAAUAUUGGGCAAUGGGCGAAAGCCUGACCCAGCCAUUCCGCGUGCAGGAUGACUGCCCUAUGGGUUGUAAACUGCUUUUACUUGGGAAGAAACCCCUUGUUUUAAUGGGGGCUGACGGUACCAAGGGAAUAAGCACCGGCUAACUCCGUGCCAGCAGCCGCGGUAAUACGGAGGGUGCAAGCGUUAUCCGGAAUCACUGGGUUUUAAGGGUGCGUAGGCGGCCUGGUCAGUCAGGGGUGAAAGUUCUCGGCUCAACCGAGGAAUUGCCUUUGGUACUGCUGGGCUUGAAGGAAGAUGAGGCAGGCGGAAUGUGGCAUGUAGCGGUGAAAUGCAUAGAUAUGCCAUAGAGCACCGAUUGCGAAGGCAGCUUGCUGGUCUUGUCUUGACGCUGAGGCACGAAAGCGUGGGGAGCGAACAGG